GACGAACGCUGGCGGCAUGCUUAACACAUGCAAGUCGAACGAAACCUCCCUGUUUUUUUGCGCAGGUCUACGUGCGGCGUGGUAACUUGCCCGUGGGUUCCCUACCACUCCCUGUGGGGGAAGCUCAGGACGGUUAGUCUAUUACCACCAAAGAUUUCUCGCCUUUGGAUGGGCGCGCGUUGGUUUAGCUGGUUGGUAGGGUAAAAGCCGACCAAGGCGACGAUGCAUAGCUGGUCUGAGAGGAUGAUCAGCCAGACUGGGACUGAGACACGGACCAGACUCCUACGGGAGGCAGCAGUGGGGAAUAUUGGACAAUGGGCGAAAGCCUGAUCCAGCAAUGCCGCGUGAGUGAUGAAGGCCUUAGGGUUGUAAAGCUCUUUUACCCGGGAUGAUAAUGACAGUACCGGGAGAAUAAGCUCCGGCUAACUACGUG
RNAcentral lists this ribosomal RNA (433 nucleotides) under uncultured bacterium. RNAcentral describes it as "partial 16S ribosomal RNA". It matches the Rfam family "Bacterial small subunit ribosomal RNA", at positions 28 to 507 of the family's 1533-position model. The record is from RNAcentral.